UAGGGAAUAUUGCAAAAUGGGCGAAAGCCCGAUGCAGCAACGCCGCGUGGGCGAUGAAGCCCUUCGGGUCGUAACGCCCUUUUUGAGGGGAUGAGGAAGGACAGUACCCUCAGAAUAAGCCUCGGCUAACUACGUGCCAGCAGCCGCGGUAAAACGUAGGAGGCGAGCGUUAUCCGGAUUUACUGGGCGUAAAGCGCGUGCAGGCGGAUUGGAGAGUAGGAUGUGAAAGCUCCCGGCUUAACUGGGAGAGGUCGUUCAAUACUUCCAGUCUUGAGUGCAGUAGAGGGGAGUGUAAUUCCGGGUGUAGUGGUGAAAUGCGUAGAUAUCCGGAGGAACACCAGUGGCGAAAGCGGCUUCCUGGACUGUAACUGACGCUCAGACGCGAAAGCUAGGGUAGCAAACG
RNAcentral lists this ribosomal RNA (403 nucleotides) under uncultured bacterium. RNAcentral's name for it is "bacterial SSU rRNA". It matches the Rfam family "Bacterial small subunit ribosomal RNA", at positions 355 to 774 of the family's 1533-position model. The record is from RNAcentral.